Molecule: long non-coding RNA, 1400 nt
Filed under: Homo sapiens (human)
Lineage: Eukaryota; Metazoa; Chordata; Mammalia; Primates; Hominidae
Description: non-protein coding lnc-MORC2-8:1
Source: RNAcentral
UUUUUUUCUAGUAUAAUUGCCUUGGAGUCAGACAAUAUACUUGGCAUAAUUUCAGUCCUUUGAAAUUUGCUUUAUGGCCCAGUAUAUGGGCAGUUUUUGCACACGUUCCAUGUGAUUGAAGAGAACAGUUGUUGAGUGCAAGGUUGUAUAACUGUCCAGCAGGCCUUGUUCAUACUUUCUCUACUUGGGUUGUAGUUAGUCCAUCUUUCCUAAUGUGUGUAUAUAUAUAUAUAUAUUUUAAUUAUGUAAGCAUUUCUUUUGUUGAAAAGAUCCUUCAAAAAAUACCAUAUCCAUAGAUUUACUUUCUGUCAUAUAGCUGAAUGUGUUGUGUUUGGAAUUCCAUUCUUACAUUUAAAAAUCAACUGGAUUGCCCAGAAGUUUAGAUGCAUUUGUUUUGUUUAUCUUAUCCAUGUUGAAGAUGUAAGUAGAUGAUCUGAAAGCAUCAGGUUUGAUUACACCACAUAAUGCAUGUCUUUCUUAAGUAUUGGUGUUACAGAAAUGGUUCUUAUCUCAGAAGCAGAGAAGCUGACAGGUGGAAGGAAGGAGAGAGAGUUCUGUGGAUUGCGGAGGGCUUGUAACAAAGAUACAGUAGGAGAAGCCAAGGAUGACAGCUGGUGACCAAUUACUAAGCACACUACACUGGGCGCCCCAGGCUGCCCUGCCAUCACCCUGCAAGGGUCUCUUUCCUAGGCCCUUGCUGCCAGCCACCCCCCAACUGCUCCCCAAAGGGAAGACUGGGAUUUGGGUACUGAAGGAUUUUUCAUCUGUUCACACGCGGGCGUUCAAGCUCAAAAGCCUAACCACUACCACUCCCAGGCUCAUUCUUGCUCCUUGUGAACGAAUUCCACUCUGGGUCUGGCACCCCUGAAGAUAGCAGAGUUGGGAUCGGCUACUUCAUUGAGGGGCGUCACAACAUUCGAGGUUUAAGCUGGAGUCGUGGUCUUUGUGCUCUUCCCUCCUCUGUCGGUUCUUUGAAAUCCAUGUUGGAUCGUGGAAGGGAGGACCAUCUCUGAAGUGGCUGCCCAGUUGGGGGCCUGUUUCCCAGUCACCUGGGUGACUACCUCCCCUGCCUCCUAAGAAGUCAUCCCUGAAGCUUCGUCAUCUGGUACACCUUUUCUGAAUCCAAAGCCACCUUUAUCUUGUUUUCUGCCUUCUGCAAUGUCCACAUGAAGUGACUGAUUGCCCAACAGUGCACCAUCGUAUGUCAAGCUUCCUUAAGGGAAUCCACUUCAUCGAAUUCUAUAUAGCAGAAUCCUUUAAAUUUAUCUGUGUCUUUGUCUCUGACUACCCGUACACUCCUUAUGCUGAGAUCCUUAAAGAUAGCAUCUAUGUCGCCCUGAACCAUAUUAAAAGGUAGAUUCCCUACAUAUGCUGUGUGUGGGGCUCUGUGAGCGACUCCU